GAUGAACGCUGGCGGCGUGCCUAAUACAUGCGAGUCGAGCGAACAGAUGAGGAGCUUGCUCCUCUGACGUUAGCGGCGGACGGGUGAGUAACACGUGGAUAACCUACCUAUAAGACUGGGAUAACUUCGGGAAACCGGAGCUAAUACCGGAUAAUAUAUUGAACCGCAUGGUUCAAUAGUGAAAGACGGUUUUGCUGUCACUUAUAGAUGGAUCCGCGCCGCAUUAGCUAGUUGGUAAGGUAACGGCUUACCAAGGCAACGAUGCGUAGCCGACCUGAGAGGGUGAUCGGCCACACUGGAACUGAGACACGGUCCAGACUCCUACGGGAGGCAGCAGUAGGGAAUCUUCCGCAAUGGGCGAAAGCCUGACGGGGCAACGCCGCGUGAGUGAUGAAGGUCUUCGGAUCGUAAAACUCUGUUAUUAGGGAAGAACAAAUGUGUAAGUAACUAUGCACGUCUUGACGGUACCUAAUCAGAAAGCCACGGCUAACUACGUG
RNAcentral lists this ribosomal RNA (497 nucleotides) under uncultured bacterium. RNAcentral's name for it is "partial 16S ribosomal RNA". It matches the Rfam family "Bacterial small subunit ribosomal RNA", at positions 28 to 507 of the family's 1533-position model. The record is from RNAcentral.